Molecule: unclassified non-coding RNA, 299 nt
Filed under: Hevea brasiliensis (rubber tree)
Lineage: Eukaryota; Viridiplantae; Streptophyta; Magnoliopsida; Malpighiales; Euphorbiaceae
Source: RNAcentral
CAUAGUUGGUUCCCUCAGUGCUUCCCAUAUAGCCGACACAACUCCUGAUGUGAUAAUUACUCUUCAGUUCUUAUCUAUCUCAAAGGAAUAUGAAAAUCUUUUUCAUGAACUAGCAGUAUUUACAAUCUAAUUCGAGCUUCUAACCCACAACCCAUCAAUAGACCGCUGUCAAAGUUUAUGGAAUCUACUUAGGAGAAAAUUUUAUAGAAAAUGCAGAGAACUGGAGGCAAGAGAAAAGGAAGCAAUUCUAGCCAAACAAUCCUAAUCCACAAACAGGUAUGAAGAAUUAGAAAAACCAU